This 253-nucleotide ribosomal RNA is filed under the name uncultured bacterium. RNAcentral describes it as "partial 16S ribosomal RNA". It matches the Rfam family "Bacterial small subunit ribosomal RNA", at positions 524 to 776 of the family's 1533-position model. The record is from RNAcentral.
UACGUAGGGGGCAAGCGUUGUCCGGAAUCAUUGGGCGUAAAGAGCGUGUAGGCGGUCCGGUAAGUCGGCUGUGAAAGUCCAGGGCUCAACCCUGGGAUGCCGGUCGAUACUGCCGGACUAGAGUUCGGAAGAGGCGAGUGGAAUUCCCGGUGUAGCGGUGAAAUGCGCAGAUAUCGGGAGGAACACCUAUGGCGAAGGCGGCAUCCUGGACCGGCAUUGACGCUGAGGCGCGAAAGCUAGGGGAGCAAACGGG